Branchiostoma floridae (Florida lancelet) is the source of this 87-nucleotide non-coding RNA. The record is from Rfam. NCBI's taxonomy places the organism in Eukaryota, Metazoa, Chordata, Leptocardii, Amphioxiformes, Branchiostomatidae.
GCCCGGUUAGCUCAGUCGGUAGAGCAUCAGACUUUUACGCGACAUGUAGCGAUCUGAGGGUCAGGGGUUCAAGUCCCCUAUCGGGCG